Molecule: transfer RNA, 75 nt
Filed under: Chloroflexota bacterium
Lineage: Bacteria; Bacillati; Chloroflexota
Description: Chloroflexi bacterium (soil metagenome) tRNA-Gly
Rfam family: tRNA
About the family: Transfer RNA (tRNA) molecules are approximately 80 nucleotides in length. Their secondary structure includes four short double-helical elements and three loops (D, anti-codon, and T loops). Further hydrogen bonds mediate the characteristic L-shaped molecular structure. tRNAs have two regions of fundamental functional importance: the anti-codon, which is responsible for specific mRNA codon recognition, and the 3' end, to which the tRNAs corresponding amino acid is attached (by aminoacyl-tRNA synthetases). tRNAs cope with the degeneracy of the genetic code in two manners: having more than one tRNA (with a specific anti-codon) for a particular amino acid; and 'wobble' base-pairing, i.e. permitting non-standard base-pairing at the 3rd anti-codon position.
Source: RNAcentral
GCGGGAGUAGCUCAGUUGGUAGAGCGCGACUUUCCCAAAGUCGAGGUUUCGCGGGUUCGAGCCCCGUCUCCCGCU